CUACGGGUCGCACCAGUGGGGAAUAUUGGGCAAUGGGCGCAAGCCUGACCCAGCAACGCCGCGUGAGGGAAGAAGGUUUUCGGAUUGUAAACCUCUGUCCCCCCUGACGAAUAGAUGACGGUAAGGGGGGAGGAAGCUCCGGCUAACUACGUGCCAGCAGCCGCGGUAAUACGUAGGGAGCGAGCGUUGUCCGGAAUUACUGGGCGUAAAGGGUGCGUAGGCGGCAUAUUAAGUCAGGUGUGAAAUUUUCGGGCUCAACCCGGAACCUGCAUUUGAAACUGAUAAGCUUGAGUGUGAGAGAGGUAAGUGGAAUUCCUAGUGUAGCGGUGAAAUGCGUAGAUAUUAGGAGGAACACCAGUGGCGAAGGCGACUUACUGGCUCAUAACUGACGCUGAGGCACGAAAGCGUGGGGAGCAAACAGGAUUAGAUACCCCCGUAGUC
Molecule: ribosomal RNA, 441 nt
Filed under: uncultured bacterium
Lineage: Bacteria
Description: partial 16S ribosomal RNA
Rfam family: Bacterial small subunit ribosomal RNA
Source: RNAcentral